AGUGAACGCUGGCGGUAGGCCUAACACAUGCAAGUCGAACGGCAGCACAGUAAGAGCUUGCUCUUACGGGUGGCGAGUGGCGGACGGGUGAGGAAUACAUCGGAAUCUACUUUUUCGUGGGGGAUAACGUAGGGAAACUUACGCUAAUACCGCAUACGACCUACGGGUGAAAGCAGGGGAUCUUCGGACCUUGCGCGAUUGAAUGAGCCGAUGUCGGAUUAGCUAGUUGGCGGGGUAAAGGCCCACCAAGGCGACGAUCCGUAGCUGGUCUGAGAGGAUGAUCAGCCACACUGGAACUGAGACACGGUCCAGACUCCUACGGGAGGCAGCAGUGGGGAAUAUUGGACAAUGGGCGCAAGCCUGAUCCGGCCAUGCCGCGUGGGUGAAGAAGGCCUUCGGGUUGUAAAGCCCUUUUGUUGGGAAAGAAAAGCAGCAGGUUAAUACCCCGCUGUUCUGACGGUACCCAAAGAAUAAGCACCGGCUAACUUCGUG
Molecule: ribosomal RNA, 492 nt
Filed under: uncultured bacterium
Lineage: Bacteria
Description: partial 16S ribosomal RNA
Rfam family: Bacterial small subunit ribosomal RNA
Source: RNAcentral